This is a non-coding RNA of Chlorocebus sabaeus (green monkey), 379 nucleotides long. NCBI's taxonomy places the organism in Eukaryota, Metazoa, Chordata, Mammalia, Primates, Cercopithecidae. The record is from RefSeq and is a predicted model, not a curated record.
CUUCAAGGCUUCCUCUUUAGAAGGUUCUUUAGAUACAGCGACUGUUCCCGCCAGUCCCACAGAUCAAAGACAAACUGAAUGAUAACCAGGAAGUGGAAGACGAGAUUAUCUGGGAGGAAUUCACCGCAGAGGAAGGUAAAGGUUACCGUGAAGAGGUGUUGACCGUGAAGGAAAUUACCUGAGGCCCGGAGGGUGAAGGAAUGGCGUGGACAUCUCCGCCUCCGAGACACUGGGGAACUGUUUUCUUGUUGAUGAUGCCGUGAGCCUUUAUAUCAUUUUCUACGUUUUUAUUUAAAGACAUGAUGUUUGGGUCCAGGCACGGUAGCUCACGCCUGUCAUCCCGGCACUUUGGGAGGCCGAGGCAGGUGGAUCACUUGAG